GCCCAGGUGAUGAAAUUGGUAUACAUGCAUCCUUGAGGUGGAUGUGCCGCAAGGCGUGGAGGUUCGAGUCCUCUCCUGGGCA
This 82-nucleotide transfer RNA is filed under the name Parcubacteria bacterium C7867-001. RNAcentral's name for it is "tRNA-Leu". It matches the Rfam family "tRNA". Rfam says of the family: Transfer RNA (tRNA) molecules are approximately 80 nucleotides in length. Their secondary structure includes four short double-helical elements and three loops (D, anti-codon, and T loops). Further hydrogen bonds mediate the characteristic L-shaped molecular structure. tRNAs have two regions of fundamental functional importance: the anti-codon, which is responsible for specific mRNA codon recognition, and the 3' end, to which the tRNAs corresponding amino acid is attached (by aminoacyl-tRNA synthetases). tRNAs cope with the degeneracy of the genetic code in two manners: having more than one tRNA (with a specific anti-codon) for a particular amino acid; and 'wobble' base-pairing, i.e. permitting non-standard base-pairing at the 3rd anti-codon position. RNAcentral also lists the same sequence under 1 other name. Lineage: Bacteria; Candidatus Parcubacteria. The record is from RNAcentral.